UACGGGGGGGGCAAGCGUUGUUCGGAAUUACUGGGCGUAAAGGGCUCGUAGGUGGCCAACUAAGUCAGACGUGAAAUCCCCAGGCUCAACUUGGGAACUGCGUCUGAUACUGGAUGGCUUGAAUUCGGGAGAGGGAUGCAGAAUUCCAGGUGUAGCGGUGAAAUGCGUAGAUAUCUGGAGGAAUACCGGUGGCGAAGGCGGCAUCCUGGACCGAUAUUGACACUGAUGAGCGAAAGCUAGGGGAGCAAAUGGG
Molecule: ribosomal RNA, 253 nt
Filed under: uncultured bacterium
Lineage: Bacteria
Description: partial 16S ribosomal RNA
Rfam family: Bacterial small subunit ribosomal RNA
Source: RNAcentral